Molecule: long non-coding RNA, 434 nt
Filed under: Phasianus colchicus (ring-necked pheasant)
Lineage: Eukaryota; Metazoa; Chordata; Aves; Galliformes; Phasianidae
Description: lncRNA (ENSPCLG00000001850.1)
Source: RNAcentral
UCCUCCUCAACCACUGCACAUAACAAAGGGUUGAAAGCCAAUCCAAAUUUUUUGCUGAAGAGUCAGUGAGGCAACAUAGCAGAUUGAUGUCCUUUUGCCUCUGCUACCAGGACAUCUUGCAAAAGGAGACCAAAGGAAUGGAUGAAAAUAGAAUGAGCACUGGAUUCCUACAAACAUUGUACAUGGAGAUUCUGAAGUCCUAAACUUCAAGAGGGGAGGAUAUCUUGUGUGGGACUCCAACCAGGUGUGAAGUUCCUUGCCUUCCUAAUCACUGUUUUAAUUGAGAGCUAAACAUUUCUCUGAUGAGGCGAAGAAGUAUACUGCACUAAUGCCAUGGACAAUGGCAAUUUUUUUCAAACUAACUGUAUGGUUAAACUGUACUUGUUUUCAUUUGAUUGUAUGACCUUUAUGCGCUUAUUAAAAGAAACCUGAAG